GGAUGUGAGGGCAAUUUGACUGUGUCAUCUGUCACCCCACUGAUCAUCAGGGUUGAUUUAGCUGAUCUGGCUGGCUAAGUGGGUGUGCCCAUCUUCCCUCACUAUGCCAUGUGCAUCCUUCUUGAAGCUGCAUGCUCAGUCAAAGAGGACGACCACCCCGGAUAGAAAAGGACUGUUUCCUUGGUCAAGGGUAUAUGAGUAGGUGUGCUCACCUGGAAGAACUUCAAAACAAGCUCUCAAAAAUGCCAUAAAUCUCUUUGAUAGAAUCCUUUUUUUUUUUGGUACUGGGGAUCAAA
This is an unclassified non-coding RNA of Fukomys damarensis (Damara mole-rat), 296 nucleotides long. Its record names the gene 7SK. It matches the Rfam family "7SK RNA". From Rfam's summary of the family: 7SK was discovered as an abundant small nuclear RNA in the mid-70s but a possible function has only recently been suggested. NCBI's taxonomy places the organism in Eukaryota, Metazoa, Chordata, Mammalia, Rodentia, Bathyergidae. The record is from Ensembl.